This 77-nucleotide ribosomal RNA is filed under the name Oikeobacillus pervagus. RNAcentral's name for it is "partial 16S ribosomal RNA". It matches the Rfam family "Bacterial small subunit ribosomal RNA", at positions 1 to 77 of the family's 1533-position model. Lineage: Bacteria; Bacillati; Bacillota; Bacilli; Caryophanales; Bacillaceae. The record is from RNAcentral.
UCUUUGGAGAGUUUGAUCCUGGCUCAGGACGAACGCUGGCGGCGUGCCUAAUACAUGCAAGUCGAGCGAACCAAUUA